AUCCGACUCAAGCAUCGUUAAAAGGAGUAACAACUAUCUCUUUCAAAACCCAUAUGAAUGAGAGCUUUUUAGAAGAUCUAAACCGACAAAGACAGAGACACAGACAAUUUGGUUUCCAGAAAAGAGAGAUUUACAACAUGCUACCCUUCUUAAAAGUCUUCCAUGAGGCUCAACUACUAACCAAGUCAUCCAGUAUCUGCCCUAAAGAAAGACAAAACCUGGAAGAUGAUGAGAGAAAAGAUCAAGAAAACAAAAACCAGAUUACUUCAUCCCAUAAAACAUUCAUUCAGUAUUCAUCUUCUCAAGAAUCACGUUACGGAACUAUCAAAUUUUGUUCAUUCCACGAUGUUAUUCUAGUUUUUCGUCCACCAAAGAUAUAAAUCAAUUCGAACUCCGCCGAAAGGAAAUCAUCCCUAUUAAUGAUAUAUUCUUAUAUUGGAUAGAAAUGAAUAAGAGGAACAAAUCAUCGUCAAAUUUGCAGAAGAAAUUAACUUCUCUCUCCGUCGUUAGAACUUAGAAAGUUUUCUCUCUUGACAAAAUGAGCAUAAACCCUGUCGAACUUCAAAAUGCUCUUGCAACGAUUUGUUCAUCUCCUUUUUCAUGAUUUGCUGCUGCCUCUCAUCCCCUAUCUUGGACAAGGGGCAAGUGAAACAAGACUAUGCACACAAGUAUUGGCAGUGUCGUAGCCUAGCGGUGAACCGAGAAUCUCAACAUUACUCCAGCUCUGAUUUUCUAGGUCAUACCAAUGAAGAACCCUGGUUGCGGGUGGUUUUAGGAACUAAAACUUCGUCCCCACUCUUGGAAUGCACCAACGGUUUCAUAUUCGAGCCUUCUUUCAUUUGAUCUCUCCCUUGAAAAGAGAAAAGUUUAGUCCAAGAAUCCUUCACACCAUACUACUCCAUCACCCCUACAUCGCAAGGUUGCACAGUAUCAUAGGUGGUAAGUACGCAUAGACGUCCUCUCAAAACCUCCACAUUAACAAAAUACAUGAUCAAGCUCGCUCUUCAAAUCAAAGGCAACAAUAAAAAAGUCUUCACACGAUUCUGGAUUUUGGUUAGCCGCCCAAUGCAAUGCACCGUGUAGGAAAGUUCCAUUCCCUCGUGUUUCAUGAAAAUGAUACUGGUAAUCAUAAACCCUUCUCCGUGAUUCACUUUUCAGACUAUAAAACAGUAAAUUCAGUGUACCCCAAACUGAUUAAAUCUCCCAUCAUUACCAAUUUAUAGUCAUGAGUAGCAGUAUCAUAACCAAAUCCAUCGACAAAAGCAUCGCAACACAAAGUAGCGCAUUCUUCGCCGGUAGUCGACCCUUUUUUUUUUUUUUUUUGCGGAAUUGGGUGGCGGACUUAAUUUGUCGAUUAUUAUAUCCAACGGUAGCAUCCGAGUGGCCAUACUUUCGUCUGCCCCCAAAAGCAAAAAGAUUCCAAGCUUUAAUCAAGAGGUGUUGAUUAGUGGUGAUGCAAGAGUAAAGUCUACGACUGCGAACUCGUAAUCUCCGAUAGAACGGCGCACCUCUCACUAGAAAUUUAGAAGCUUCUAUUGGAAAAAUAAAUAAAUAAACAACAGGAAGUAAUAUUUGAUUCAAGUAACUAGUUUAAAGGCGAUAGAAUGUCAGGGAUCUGAAUAUAUGAAACCAAAGAGAAUUUAA
RNAcentral lists this long non-coding RNA (1644 nucleotides) under Citrus maxima (pomelo). RNAcentral's name for it is "long non-coding RNA (CMAX_LNC000050)". The record is from RNAcentral. Lineage: Eukaryota; Viridiplantae; Streptophyta; Magnoliopsida; Sapindales; Rutaceae.